Molecule: microRNA precursor, 47 nt
Filed under: Erinaceus europaeus (western European hedgehog)
Lineage: Eukaryota; Metazoa; Chordata; Mammalia; Eulipotyphla; Erinaceidae
Description: miRNA (ENSEEUG00000016135.1)
Source: RNAcentral
AUGAAUGUAUGUGUGCAUGCAUGCAUGUAUGCAUGUAUGUAUGUAUG